CGGGGGGAGCAAGCGUUGUUCGGAUUUACUGGGCGUAAAGGGCGCGUAGGCGGCCACCGCAAGUCGACUGUGAAAUCUCCGGGCUUAACCCGGAAAGGUCAGCCGAUACUGCGGGGCUAGAGUGCAGAAGGGGCAACUGGAAUUCUCGGUGUAGCGGUGAAAUGCGUAGAUAUCGAGAGGAACACCUGCGGCGAAGGCGGGUUGCUGGGCUGACACUGACGCUGAUGCGCGAAAGCUAGGGGAGCGAACGGGAUUAGAUACCCCGGUAGUCCUAGCCUUAAACGAUGAAUGCUUGGUGUCUGGGGCUUUAUAGUCCCCGGGUGCCGUCGCUAACGCUUUAAGCAUUCCGCCUGGGGAGUACGGUCGCAAGACUG
This 374-nucleotide ribosomal RNA is filed under the name uncultured organism. RNAcentral's name for it is "bacterial SSU rRNA". It matches the Rfam family "Bacterial small subunit ribosomal RNA", at positions 526 to 896 of the family's 1533-position model. The record is from RNAcentral.